This 718-nucleotide unclassified non-coding RNA is filed under the name Hevea brasiliensis (rubber tree). The record is from RNAcentral. Lineage: Eukaryota; Viridiplantae; Streptophyta; Magnoliopsida; Malpighiales; Euphorbiaceae.
UUAAUAGCAGAGCAGUCCCUGGAGCUUCUUCAUUAGUCUCUAUAUUAUUAUAAUUCAUGUUUAUAUCUGGUAUCCCCAUUACUGAUUUCUUUCUCGGUCUCCCUCUCUUAUUCUCAGAUUUGGCCAGCAUGCUGGAAUCAGCAGGAGUCCCAUCUAAACCAGCAACGCUGGCAACAACCGUAGUCUGCCCAGAAGUUGAUUUAUUCUUUCUCUUUCUUUUUUUUGGGCCAGGCUUACCUUCGGCAGCGAGGGGGCCACUAAAUGAAGCUCCAUUGGCCAAAAGGCCCAGAAUUGCACACUUUCCAUUUGAAGUUGGUCCACUAGCAGUAAACCCCUUCCUCCUACUUUGCUCAGGAACAGUAUUUAUCGAAAAUGGACCUGUCACCUGCAAAUCUACUAACAGGGUGCUGUGUUCUGCAUUACUUGAAUUUACAUCCACUGACUUCUCCCUCUCAUUUGGCCAAGGUUCAACAUGGCUCAUCAUCUCAGCAUUUUCUACCAACAAAUUGGUCAUAGGACCAUUGCCAUUCAAGUCUGGUAUGCUUGUUGUUUGGUUGGUGCGUAGAUCUGUAGGAUUUCCUCCUUGCUUCUUUUUUUUCUUCUUUGACCUAGGUUUUCCAUUCAGCGUGGAAGGGCCCAUCUCAGAUAAGCCAUCAGCAGCAAUAUUUGCAUUCACAUCUGAUAAUCCAUCAAGAGAUUUAAUUUUCGAUCUACCUGA